RNAcentral lists this ribosomal RNA (522 nucleotides) under uncultured Ambisporaceae. RNAcentral describes it as "SSU rRNA". It matches the Rfam family "Eukaryotic small subunit ribosomal RNA", at positions 569 to 1092 of the family's 1831-position model. The record is from RNAcentral. Lineage: Eukaryota; Fungi; Glomeromycota; Glomeromycetes; Archaeosporales; Ambisporaceae.
AGCAGCCGCGGUAAUUCCAGCUCCAAUAGCGUAUAUUAAAGUUGUUGCAGUUAAAAAGCUCGUAGUUGAAUUUUGGGUCUGGCCGGGCGGUCCGCCCUCCGGGUGAGUACUGUUCCGACGCCGGGCCUAUCCUUCUGGAGAGUCGGCAUGUCCUUUAUUGGGUGUGCCGGGGAACCAGGACCAUUACCUUGAAAAAAUUAGAGUGUUCAAAGCAGGCGUAUGCUCGGAUACAUUAGCAUGGAAUAAUGAAAUAGGACGCGUGGUGCUAUUUUGUUGGUUUCUAGAACCGCCGUAAUGAUUAAUAGGGAUAGUUGGGGGCAUUAGUAUUCAAUUGUCAGAGGUGAAAUUCUUGGAUUUAUUGAAGACUAACUUCUGCGAAAGCAUUUGCCAAGGAUGUUUUCAUUAAUCAAGAACGAAAGUUAGGGGAUCGAAGACGAUCAGAUACCGUCGUAGUCUUAACCAUAAACUAUGCCGACUAGGAAUCGGGCGAUGUUAUUCUCAUGACUCGCCCGGCGCCUUAUG